Molecule: long non-coding RNA, 387 nt
Organism: Anolis carolinensis (green anole)
Lineage: Eukaryota; Metazoa; Chordata; Lepidosauria; Squamata; Anolidae
Exons: 2
Source: RefSeq, a predicted model, not a curated record
CUUACAAGGAUGUACAUCCUGUAAACUCACAGGAGAACAACCUAAGAUUUGGUCCUGAAAUAUAAGAGUCUGGGAACAUCUUCAACAGGUAACCACACUACGGACACAUUCUUUGACUGAAAUGCACAUCCUAGGCUAUCUAGAAUCAUGGAUCUGAGCCUAGAUGUUAGAGGAGUUUUAUCCAACUUAGCAACAGUUCUAAUAUACAGAGACAGUGACAGAAUACAACAGCAAGAAUGGCUACCUGUGGAAACAUUACUUCCUAGAACAGAUCAGCAACAUGACACUCCAGGUACUCCAGAAACUAUGAGUGCUAACUGGCUGCACUGCAUUGCUUUGCCUGUGAAUUAGAACUGCUGGGUGCAAAGAUGUGAGCAAUCAAUUCUA